Molecule: ribosomal RNA, 497 nt
Filed under: uncultured bacterium
Lineage: Bacteria
Description: bacterial SSU rRNA
Rfam family: Bacterial small subunit ribosomal RNA
Source: RNAcentral
CAGGACGAACGCUGGCGGCGUGCCUAACACAUGCAAGUCGAGCGGGGACGAUACGACGGAUCGGAAGUUUUCGGAUGGAAGUGAAGAUGUAUGUUCUAGCGGCGGACGGGUGAGUAACGCGUGAGCAACCUGUCCUUCACAGGGGGAUAACACAGCGAAAGUUGUACUAAUACCGCAUAAGACCACGAUGAGGCAUCUUAUUGAGGUCAAAGGAGUAAUCCGGUGAAGGGUGGGCUCGCGUCCGAUUAGAUAGUUGGUGAGGUAACGGCCCACCAAGUCAACGAUCGGUAGCCGACCUGAGAGGGUGAUCGGCCACAUUGGGACUGAGACACGGCCCAAACUCCUACGGGAGGCAGCAGUGGGGAAUAUUGGGCAAUGGGGGAACCCUGACCCAGCAACGCCGCGUGAGGGAAGAAGGUUUUCUGAUCGUAAACCUCUGUCCUUGGUGAAGAGGAAGAGACGGUAGCCAAGGAGGAAGCCCCGGCUAACUACGUGCC